Molecule: long non-coding RNA, 2652 nt
Organism: Carya illinoinensis
Lineage: Eukaryota; Viridiplantae; Streptophyta; Magnoliopsida; Fagales; Juglandaceae
Exons: 2
Source: RefSeq, a predicted model, not a curated record
UUGUGAUCUUGAGGAGUACUCCUGUAUGAGUUUAGAGAAGAAAGAAUCUGACCGUUUUAGGAGCUUUAUUGGCGUGUCAAAUUCUGCAAUUCUUCCUGUUCAAACACAAGUUCUUUAGUCUCUGAUUCAAUAUGUUCUUGAAUCAACGGAGGCUGUUGCUUCAUCCAAUACCAGAAUGCUACUCUUUUUCAGCAAGGCUCUUCCAAGACAGAAUAACUGUCUUUGGCCCACGCUCCAAUUUUCUCCGUUUUCGACCACUGUUAAGAAGCAGGCAUGUUUGUUAUGGUAAUUUUCUAUUUUUCAAAUGCAUACAAUCAACUGUUUCCAUGGUUCAUCUUGAUGAACCUGACCUGUAGAAUCCAGCUUCUCUUCCUUAUCACGCACGAGAUGACCUAGCUGACAUUUGUUUAGAGCCUGAAAAGUUUGGAAGUUAUUUCAGUGUACAAGAUGGAAACAUUGAUAACGAAGACUCUUUUCUUGAGUAUAUUUAUAUUUAGAUAUUACAAAUGAUCAUUAUGAAACUUAAUAUCGAAAGUUUUGAGUGUUACUCUUUCGGCGUAAUAUGCCACCCCUUGAAAGAUGUUGUGGAUUCUUAGUUCAAUUCAUAGGAUAGAAAUAUUACCUCCCAUAUCUCAUAGUCAGAAUAUUGCUUUAGAGGAUCUAGGUUUGCUCUAAUUGUUCCCUCAAACAUUGCUGGGUCCUGCGGUAUGAUGCUAAGUCUUGAUCUUAAGUCAUGAAGGCCUAUCUUGCAAAUGUCUACGUUGUCGAUAAUGAUGCUGCCCUCUCUGGGUUCAACAAUCCUGAAAAUUGCUUGUAUGAGGGUUGAUUUCCCACUCCCUGUCCUUCCUACAACACCAACUUUCUUCCUUCCAGGAAAUGUGCAGUUAAUGUUUUUUAGGACAGAUGGAAGAUGUUCAGCGUAACGAAUCUGCAAGGCAGUCAAGUCAAUGCCAUGCGUCAGUAAAUGCAAGGCAAACUUAGGAGGAUAGGUUGAGAAUUUCUUUUGUCAGAUUUGUCAAACUACUAUGUUGUUACUUCUUGGAGUUUUGUUUAUGAUGGAUGGAUCAUAAAAAAAUAUUUGGUGUUGAAGAUUUUGAACUUUUUUUGUCAUGGUUUUAACUUUGCCAUAAAGGCUUACCUGCAAAUUUUUGAAGCAAAUUGUUCCAACCUCUGGCCAGUUGUUUGGUGGUCUGCUCUCUUCAAUCACGAGAGGUGCUUCACUUGUUAUGUUCGAGUACUGAAGGAUUCUUUCUACAGAUAUCAUCUUGUUUUCUGCAUUGCAUAUGUUCCAUAUGACUGAAGCUUGCAAAACAUUCAAAUUGAUCCCGUAUGUUACUGCCAACCCUGCAAUACCUGUUAAAAGCCCAAUUCCAGGUAAGUUUUCUCACUAGAUUCUCUUAUUUCAAUAUCUUCUGAAUAAACUAUUACUUGCAUGAAAAGGGGCAACCCAUUGGUUAAGCGUCUACUCCAAUGCCUUCUUGUUAUGGAGGUAUCUAUCCUAAUUUAUCCUUCUCUCGGAAAUUUUCAAACCCCAAGUCUAAGAUAGCAAAUGAUUUUUAAUAAAUUUACAUUCAAGGGAAGAUUUGCUGUAGAUAGUUUCUAGAAAGAUUACUGAUACUUACUUGGAUUAAUAAUUCCUUCGGGGAGUGUGACUAGUAAAACCAAUGAGAAGGCAAACACAAAGUUAGAUAGCAAAUUCAAUCUGAAAGAAAGCCAUUCCAUUGCUGACACAUUGUGAAACCAUGGCCUUGAGUGGUUGUCAACAAGAUCAAGGUUUCCACCAAAGAAGCGAUUUUCUUGAUCAAAAGCACGGAUUGUUGCAGCUCCUGCUAGUGAUUCGGCAAAGUGAUGGAGGAUUGGUGCUCGUUCAAUACCUGUUAAGCGGGCCAGUUCUCUCGCUGUUGGUAUGUAAUAUUGCUGAAAUAAUCACAAUUAACCAUUGAUCAGAAUCAACAGGGGCCAACCAGGGCUCAGGGAGGGGGUAGAGAGAUAGAGGUCAUCCAAAGCUAUUUAGAAACUCUGAAUUUCUUUACGUAGUGUAAAAAUGGAACAAUAGUUGAUUAUAAGUUUUCAAGACAUUUUUUAUGGCUGUUUUUAUCAUUCAUCAUUCUAAUUCUUUUUCCCUGCUGGCAGCAUAGUUCUCGUUAAUAAACAUGAUGAAUAUUCAGAUUGGUUUAGAAGUCAAGUUUUUUUCCCCUCAUCAUUGUUCCCAUAUAUGAAGUAAUCAUCUCUGGUACGUCUAGAAUAUGAAAGAAAGACUCUUACUUGGUACCAUAUGCAGAUUGCCGUUACUGGAAUGAAGAUGACAAAUACUUCCCAUGCCACUUGUGACAUCACUGCAAUAGUUCCUAGAAGUUGUAUUAUUGAGAAAGCACACCAACCUACUCUUCCUGCCAAUUCCAAGUCCAGCACACUCUGAUCAGUAGAUGCCUGCAAGUAAUGUAACUUAAGGCUGUCAGUCUUCUUGAAUUAUAUUGUUUUGGAAUUAUACAAUGUGUAGGCUGUGACUAGUAGGUUUUUUUGUUAUUUACCAGCUUACAAGGUGAGGAAGCAAGAACUUUCCUCUUUAGUAUGCUCUCUCUUGAAAGCAAAAACUUGUUGUAUAUAACCCUUACAAAAUUUUAAUUGCAAAAAUCACUUUGUUUUUUUUUU